AUACGGAGGGUGCAAGCGUUAAUCGGAAUUACUGUGCGUAAAGCGUACGUAGGCGGUUAUUUAAGUCAGAUGUGAAAGCCCCGGGCUUAACUUGGGAACUGCAUUUGAAACUGGGUAACUAGAGUUUAGUAGAGGGGAGUGGAAUUUCAGGUGUAGCGGUGAAAUGCGUAGAGAUCUGAAGGAACACCAGUGGCGAAGGCGACUCCCUGGACUAAAACUGACGCUGAGGUACGAAAGCGUGGGUAGCAAACAGAAUUAGAUACCCUAGUAGUCC
This 274-nucleotide ribosomal RNA is filed under the name uncultured bacterium. RNAcentral describes it as "partial 16S ribosomal RNA". It matches the Rfam family "Bacterial small subunit ribosomal RNA", at positions 523 to 796 of the family's 1533-position model. The record is from RNAcentral.